UACGAACUGUGCGAACGUUAUUCGGAAUCACUGGGCUUACAGGGUGCGUAGGCGGUUUACCAAGUCAGGUGUGAAAGCCCCCGGCUCAACCGGGGAAUGGCGCUUGAAACUAGUAAGCUGGAGUGCAGCAGGGGCGCGUGGAACUUCUGGUGGAGCGGUGAAAUGUGUAGAGAUCAGAAGGAACGCCGGUAGCGAAAGCGGCGCGCUGGGCUGUAACUGACGCUGAGGCACGAAAGCCAGGGGAGCGAACGGG
Molecule: ribosomal RNA, 253 nt
Filed under: uncultured bacterium
Lineage: Bacteria
Description: partial 16S ribosomal RNA
Rfam family: Bacterial small subunit ribosomal RNA
Source: RNAcentral